UGCUAAAUCGUGUGGAGGAGACGGGGUAAGUCGGGGGGUGCAAGCGUUAUCCGGAUUCACUGGGUUGAAAGGGAUCGUAGGAUGGCAGGUAAGUCAGUGGUGAAAUCCUAGAGCGUAAGUCUAGAACUGCCGUUGAUACUAUCUGUCUUGAAUAUUGUGGAGGGGAGCGGAAUAUGUCAUGUAGCGGUGAAAUGCUUAGAUAUGACAUAGAACACCAAUUGCGAAGGCAGCUCGCUACACAUAUAUUGACUCUGAGGCACGAAAGCGUGGGGAUCAAACAGGAUUAGAUACCCGAGUAGUC
RNAcentral lists this ribosomal RNA (301 nucleotides) under uncultured Mesoplasma sp. RNAcentral's name for it is "bacterial SSU rRNA". It matches the Rfam family "Bacterial small subunit ribosomal RNA", at positions 495 to 795 of the family's 1533-position model. Lineage: Bacteria; Bacillati; Mycoplasmatota; Mollicutes; Entomoplasmatales; Entomoplasmataceae. The record is from RNAcentral.